GACCCGGGGCCGUCUAACCUCGGAAUUGCAUUUGUAAACUGGCAGACUAGAGUACUGUAGGAGGGGGGUAGGAAUUUCAGGUGUAGCGGUGAAAUGCGUAGAGAUCUGAAGGAAUACCGGUGGCGAAGGCGGCCCCCUCGGACAGAUACUGACACUCAGAUGCGAAAGCGUGGGGAGCAAACAGGAUUAGAUACCCUGGUAG
This 202-nucleotide ribosomal RNA is filed under the name uncultured bacterium. RNAcentral's name for it is "partial 16S ribosomal RNA". It matches the Rfam family "Bacterial small subunit ribosomal RNA", at positions 599 to 793 of the family's 1533-position model. The record is from RNAcentral.